AACGAACGCUGGCGGCAUGCCUAACACAUGCAGGUCGAACGAGACCUUCGGGUCUAGUGGCGCACGGGUGCGUAACGCGUGGGAACCUGCCCUUAGGUUCGGAAUAACUCCCCGAAAGGGGUGCUAAUACCGGAUAAUGUCUUCGGACCAAAGAUUUAUCGCCUUUGGAUGGGCCCGCGUUGGAUUAGCUAGUUGGUAGGGUAAAAGCCUACCAAGGCGACGAUCCAUAGCUGGUCUGAGAGGAUGAUCAGCCACACUGGGACUGAGACACGGCCCAGACUCCUACGGGAGGAAGCAGUGGGGAAUAUUGGACAAUGGGCGAAAGCCUGAUCCAGCAAUGCCGGGUGAGUGAUGAAGGCCUUAGGGUUGUAAAGCUCUUUUACCCGGGAUGAUAAUGACAGUACCGGGAGAAUAAGCUCCGGCUAACUCCGU
This 432-nucleotide ribosomal RNA is filed under the name uncultured bacterium. Its description in RNAcentral is "partial 16S ribosomal RNA". It matches the Rfam family "Bacterial small subunit ribosomal RNA", at positions 29 to 506 of the family's 1533-position model. The record is from RNAcentral.